RNAcentral lists this transfer RNA (77 nucleotides) under Candidatus Limimonas egerieequi. RNAcentral describes it as "tRNA-Arg". It matches the Rfam family "tRNA". Rfam says of the family: Transfer RNA (tRNA) molecules are approximately 80 nucleotides in length. Their secondary structure includes four short double-helical elements and three loops (D, anti-codon, and T loops). The record is from RNAcentral. Lineage: Bacteria; Bacillati; Bacillota; Clostridia; Eubacteriales; Acutalibacteraceae.
GCGCUUGUAGCUCAGCAGGAUAGAGCGUCCGCCUCCUAAGCGGAAGGUCGUGGGUUCGAAUCCCGUCAAGCGUGCCA